CUGUGUACGGGGAGUUAGCGGUGCCCUGUAACCCGCAAUCCGCUAUAGCGGGGUCGCAAGCCUGUUUGAGGUCUCACCUUUCCUUGCAGACACGCGUUUCUGGGGCGUUUAAGGUCUGGUCUCGCGCAGCGGUCACGCGCCUAACCCCGUCAGAACCGGAAGGUAGCAGCGGUAAGUGUAGUGAGCGGGUGCCGUGGGGUUGCCGGGCAUCAGUCACAGGGCGUCGUUGGAUGUAAGUGAUAAGGCGAUCGAAAAUGGGGCACAG
This 265-nucleotide signal recognition particle RNA is filed under the name Candidatus Hatepunaea meridiana. RNAcentral's name for it is "signal recognition particle sRNA large type". It matches the Rfam family "Bacterial large signal recognition particle RNA". Rfam says of the family: The signal recognition particle (SRP) is a universally conserved ribonucleoprotein involved in the co-translational targeting of proteins to membranes. Archaeal SRP consists of a 7S RNA and homologues of the eukaryotic SRP19 and SRP54 proteins. Lineage: Bacteria; Pseudomonadati; Candidatus Electryoneota; Candidatus Electryoneia; Candidatus Hatepunaeales; Candidatus Hatepunaeaceae. The record is from RNAcentral.